This 133-nucleotide non-coding RNA is filed under the name Pseudonocardia sp. RNAcentral describes it as "SAM-I sequence". It matches the Rfam family "SAM riboswitch aptamer (S box leader)". From Rfam's summary of the family: The SAM riboswitch is found upstream of a number of genes which code for proteins involved in methionine or cysteine biosynthesis in Gram-positive bacteria. The record is from RNAcentral. Lineage: Bacteria; Bacillati; Actinomycetota; Actinomycetes; Pseudonocardiales; Pseudonocardiaceae.
GGCUCAUCCAGAGGGGCAGAGGGAACGGCCCGUUGAAGCCCCGGCAACCGGCAGACGCACACUGCGCAGAUCUGUUCUGCGUGCGCUGAUCACGGUGCCAAUUCCGACCCGCACGGCGCGGGGAAGAUGAGGA